RNAcentral lists this small RNA (124 nucleotides) under Serratia marcescens. RNAcentral's name for it is "RtT sRNA". It matches the Rfam family "RtT RNA". Rfam says of the family: This family represents a bacterial cis-regulatory element known as RtT RNA. The exact function of RtT is unknown although it is thought that it may be involved in changing the cellular response in relation to amino acid starvation. RNAcentral also lists the same sequence under 1 other name. The record is from RNAcentral. Lineage: Bacteria; Pseudomonadati; Pseudomonadota; Gammaproteobacteria; Enterobacterales; Yersiniaceae.
CAAGGUGUUAAAUCGUCAGGAUGAGAACCGUAAAGGUUCGAGUCUCGCAAAGCGAGACAACAUCACAUCAGGUGAUGGCCCGAAGGGCGAGGCCAAAGGCCGAGUUAUCCUGCACGACCCACCA